GACGAACGCUGGCGGCGUGCUUAACACAUGCAAGUCGAACGGAAAGGCCCUGCUUUUGUGGGGUGCUCGAGUGGCGAACGGGUGAGUAACACGUGAGUAACCUGCCCUUGACUUUGGGAUAACUUCAGGAAACUGGGGCUAAUACCGGAUAGGAGCUCCUGCUGCAUGGUGGGGGUUGGAAAGUUUCGGCGGUUGGAGAUGGACUCGCGGCUUAUCAGCUUGUUGGUGGGGUAGUGGCUUACCAAGGCUUUGACGGGUAGCCGGCCUGAGAGGGUGACCGGCCAAAUUGGAACGGAGGUACGGCCCAGACUCCUACGGGAGGCAGCAGUGGGGAAUAGUGCACAAUGGGCGGAAGCCUGAUGCAGCAACGCCGCGUGCGGGAUGACGGCCUUCGGGUUGUAAACCGCUUUCGCCUGUGACGAAGCGUGAGUGACGGUAAUGGGUAAAGAAGCACCGGCUAACUACGUG
Molecule: ribosomal RNA, 468 nt
Filed under: uncultured bacterium
Lineage: Bacteria
Description: partial 16S ribosomal RNA
Rfam family: Bacterial small subunit ribosomal RNA
Source: RNAcentral